CUGAGUUGUCAACACGAGUUGUUGCUGGUCCUCAAACAGGGGGCAUGUGCACGCUCUGUUCACACAUCCACUCACACCUGUGCACCCUCCGUAGUUCUGUGGUCUGGGGGACACACUGUCUUCCUCCUGUAGUUCUGCGUCUUUACACACACACCGUAGUGAAGUCUUAUGGAAUGUGCAUCGCGUUUAACGCAAUACAAUA
Molecule: unclassified non-coding RNA, 202 nt
Filed under: uncultured Thelephoraceae
Lineage: Eukaryota; Fungi; Basidiomycota; Agaricomycetes; Thelephorales; Thelephoraceae
Description: sequence contains ITS1
Source: RNAcentral